GACGAACGCUGGCGGCGUGCUUAACACAUGCAAGUCGAACGGAAAGGCCCUGCUUUUGUGGGGUGCUCGAGUGGCGAACGGGUGAGUAACACGUGAGUAACCUGCCCUUGACUUUGGGAUAACUUCAGGAAACUGGGGCUCAUACCGGAUAGGAGCUCCUGCUGCAUGGUGGGGGUUGGAAAGUUUCGGCGGUUGGGGAUGGACUCGCGGCUUAUCAGCUUGUUGGUGGGGUAGUGGCUUACCAAGGCUUUGACGGGUAGCCGGCCUGAGAGGGUGACCGGGCACAAGGGGACUGAGGGACGGCGCAGACGCCUACGGGAGGCAGCGGGGGGGAAUAUUGCGCAAUGGGGGGAAGCCUGAGGCGGCAGCGCCGCGUGCGGGAUGACGGCCUACGGGGUGUAAACAGCUUUCGCCUGUGACGAAGCGGGAGUGACGGUAAUGGGUAAAGAAGCACCGGCUAACUACGUG
Molecule: ribosomal RNA, 468 nt
Filed under: uncultured bacterium
Lineage: Bacteria
Description: partial 16S ribosomal RNA
Rfam family: Bacterial small subunit ribosomal RNA
Source: RNAcentral